Molecule: transfer RNA, 103 nt
Filed under: Rosa chinensis
Lineage: Eukaryota; Viridiplantae; Streptophyta; Magnoliopsida; Rosales; Rosaceae
Description: tRNA RchiOBHm_Chr2g0113021
Rfam family: tRNA (bases 12-102)
About the family: Transfer RNA (tRNA) molecules are approximately 80 nucleotides in length.
Source: RNAcentral
CGAGCAGGCAUCCGACCUUAGCUCAGUUGGUAGAGCGGAGGACUGUAGUGGGUUAAACCGUCAGGUAUCCUUAGGUCGCUGGUUCGAAUCCGGCAGGUCGGAC